RNAcentral lists this ribosomal RNA (253 nucleotides) under uncultured prokaryote. Its description in RNAcentral is "partial 16S ribosomal RNA". It matches the Rfam family "Bacterial small subunit ribosomal RNA", at positions 524 to 776 of the family's 1533-position model. The record is from RNAcentral.
UACGUAGGAUGCGAGCGUUGUCCGGAAUUAUUGGGCGUAAAGCGAACGUAGGCGGUUUCUUAAGAUUGGUCUUAAAGACCGGGGCUCAACCUCGGGAAUGGAUCGAUAACUGGGAGACUGGAGGACGUCAGAGGAAAGUGGAAUUCCGAGUGUAGCGGUGAAAUGCGUAGAUAUCAGGAGGAACACCGGUGGUGUAGACGGCUUUCUGGACCAUAACUGACGCUGAGACACGAAAGCGUGGGUAGCAAACAGG